This is a long non-coding RNA of Uranotaenia lowii, 6439 nucleotides long. RefSeq lists it as uncharacterized. The record is from RefSeq and is a predicted model, not a curated record. Lineage: Eukaryota; Metazoa; Arthropoda; Insecta; Diptera; Culicidae. The transcript is spliced from 3 exons.
AAGCUAUUAUUUAAAUGCUUUCUAUAUACAAGAUAUCUUCAAAAUAGUUGUUGAAAAAAUAGAUGAUCUUUAACAUACUUUCAACCACACGUAUCCACACCGUCAGGCAUUCAGAACGUUUUUUGAAAAAAAAAAUUAAAAAGGGCAAAAUGUAUGUGUAUUUUGAAAUUUUUGAAAAAUCAUUAUUGAACACAAAAUUUAAAAAAAUUUUAAGAGGAAUUUGAGUUUUUAUUUGAUUUAGCAAAUAAUCUGAAUAAACCCGAGCAAAACUCGGAAAUGGCCAGAUUUGACUAAUCUGGAAUCUCUUUACUGGAUAAGGUAUUUCCCGACUUGUCAACAGAACAGCUGAUUUCUCAUGUUUACAAUUUUCGGCAGCUGGUGGUAGGGUAAAAAUAACAACAACACUACGCAUGUUCAAUGGUCGGAUAGUAACGAAACCAAAUUGGCGGUGCAAAAGUAAUGGUUAUGCAAAAUUCUUAAUUUUUUAAACUACCUUAAACUAAAUAAUUAUAGACAUGAAAUACUUUGAAGGUAAUGUUGAUGUUAUGUAAUGUUAAUUUGAAAAAAAUAAUUUCUUUUGAAGAAAUAAUUGAACAGUGCUAGCCUCCCAAGUUCAAAAUGGCGACCAGUAGGUGUUUACAUUUUUCAAAACAAAAACAAAAAGCUACCCUACCACUAUCUGUCUCAGGAAAUGCUCUAUUGAUGAGCAAGCCGGAAUAUAUCCAGAAAAUCUGUAAUAAACCAUAAUGAAAGUAUGGUUUAUUACGCGUAUUCUCCUGCACGGUCUUCAGUGAAAGAUACGCGGAUACACCUUAGAUGUUUUACUGAAACCAUGUUUUCCCUUUUUUAUAGGAAUUUAACCCUUUAAGGUCAUUCUUCCUAGUAAAUAAUUGUUGAAACCAUAAGUUUUCAAUGAUUGUGUGGCCUUUACAACAUAACUUUUGGAUAUUUUAUAAAUUAUCCAAAAAAAAUUGAAAAAUUUACAAGUCUGUAGUAGAUAUUCGGCCUAUUCGGCCUAUUCGGCCGAAUACUUAGCUCAACUAUUCGGUGAGCCGAAUAUUCGGCUUAACGGUUUUUCGGCGGUAUUCGGCGCCGAAUAUUCGGCCGACCGAAUAUUCGGUACAUCUCUAAUUUUUAGGGUUUAAUUUAUAAACAUUUUUAAUACUGAUCUACAAAAAGGACUACCCGCAUAGCUAAGAACCAUACUGUGAAUCUUGCGAACCAUUUGGUUCUGAUUACAUUAAUAGUUUCGAUUGCUUUUGGGUCAUUGCUAAUGUGCCUUUGCUAGAAACCAAUUAAAAACCAUUGUUAAAAGAUACGUAUAAUCUUCCAAGAAAUUAAUUGAUUAAUUUGGCAACGCACCGAUAAGAUACAAAAUUAUUCAUGAAUGAUUCAGUUGAUAUUCAUAAAAAAUAAUCGUAUAUUUUAGCAACGCUCCUCACAUUUUUUCUGCUGUCAGCAUAACCCGCGUGGCAAAAAUUGUGAAAAAAAAUUAAUCUCCCGGAAAAGUGUUACCAUUUUGGUCAGGUUCUGAUGAAUCUAGAUUCAUCAUGGGUGCGGUAGGCAACAGAAACGGUUCCGGUGUUACGAGGGUGAGUACACUGACUUAUUUAUUUAUUUAAUCGAGUGUCUCACAAAAAAACCGACGGCUAAGAAUGAUGGUGCAUUUCGUUCCGGAGCUGAAGUGCUGAAGCUGGAAGCCAAGGAAGGUUCAGCAGUGCUGCGGCAACACGAAAGAGGAUGGAUCGGAACUGCCAUCGCAGUUGGUACCGAAGUGCUGCAGGAUUGGGAACAUCCGGAAGGUGUAUCCGCAGAUUGCGGAAGGUUAGUAUUUUAAUGAUGAAUCAUGUAAUAAAAAUCGUGUAAAAUAAAAUAAAUUAGUAAAUCAAAUUUCUUUUCAUAUUUUUUUUCCGGAAAAUUAAUUGAAAUUUAAUAAAAUGUAUAAAAUCUCACCAUGGGGUUGAAUCUUUUCAUUGUUGGUUGACGAUAAGUUGUAACGUCAUCUUUUUAUGAGCGGAUCAUAACACAACGAUAACACGUAUGGUCAACUCGUUGAAGAUUGAGUAGAAAAAAGCAAAAAAAUUGAAUGGUAACUCUACUUAACGACCCGUUCGAUAUAUCGUAAAGUGCGUCCAAACGAUUCCAUGUCAUGAAAAAAUGAUAAGCCUUAUCUUACUUUAAUAAUCCAAAACUAUAGAAGUAAUCUUUUUGUUGUCUUGGGAAGAAGAUAAUGGGAAUAGUCACUAUAUAAUACUGAUUCAUGCGGGUAGUUUCUGCAGCGAAUGAUGUAAUUGUAGUAUUUUUAUUGACUAAAAAAGUGCACUUUUUGAUUGUUUGGAUUUCAAGGUUCGUGCUGUACGGACAAUUUUUUGAUACAGUGUAUGUAUGCGCAGUUUUAUAUUUUUCAAAAUGUAUUUUUAUAAAUAAAGAAUUAGAGUUAAUAAUAUUUUUUAGAGAAAUCAUUUUUAAUUUGCUGAAAUUUAUUUUAUUCGUGAGAAAACAAUUUCUUAAUUGCUGGCAUCCCUUCAAAAUAUACAGAAUUGACUAACUGGGUGAAAGCUUUCGAAUGUGUAAAACAGGGAGAUGGCAUCCCUAUCCUUUGUCAUUGAAUUUGACAACCAUCAAAAUUACGGGCCCACACUGAUAAAUCGUUUCACACAUUUUACAAAAUAGUUUCACACAUUAUCAGCAAAUAUAUGGAGCUGUCAAGCUGAAGUGAGUUUUUUACACACCAUGCAAAUUCCAAAUUUACACAUUAUCCGAAUUAGCGAAUCAAGGAAAAAAUGUGUGAAAAGUAAAGUCGUUGUGUAAGAUUUGUCUUUACCUUUGUGUGAGACGAAGUAGAAAUCAUCAGUGGUAGAAACCAUCCAUCGUGCAAAUUCUCAUGCUAAAUUGCUGUCUCAAUUUAAGGAAUGUAUGAAAAAAUAAUGGUAAGUAGUCGAUAGUAUUUGAAUGUAAAAACCAAAUCGACUAAAGCCUCAAUUUAUAUUUCAGAUCCUGCCUCCUCUUGCUGGGAGAAAAAGUUCACGGAAUUGUUCCCCCUACAGCACAUCGAGAACUAGGAUUUUGUACAUAGAUCAUACAUUUUUCCCUUAGCUCAACAAUUUCCGUUUAACUAUGCGUACAUAAUAAUAUUUGCUUCAAUAAAAACCAAUUAAGUUGCAUAUCUGGAUGUUUUUAUUUCCAAACAAUUGAAAACCAAUUAAACUAGCCUUCCUGAUUGAAACAUAGUGAAAUUUUCACACAUUUUACCGUUUUAAACGCUUUUUGCAUAAUGUGUGAAACGCUCACAUUUCGUUUCCUUAAGCGGUUUUUCCCAUUAGUGUGCAGCGGUACCUUCACACAUUUAAUGUGUUGGUCUACUUAUUUCCAAAAUGUGUGAAAUUUCACACACUAAUGUGUCAAAUAUUUUGUCCGUGCACGAUUUUGUGGGCCCAUAACAAACCUGACAUUUUGCUGUCAAGGACCCGAACUAAAUGUCAAAUGCUAGAGAAGUAUGGUUGAUAGCACACUAACACAUCAAUCAUUCUGAUUCCUCAUUGGUUGAAAUUUUGACUUUUUAGGCUUCGUACUGCUUUGAGAGGAAAACACCAUAAACGUCUCUCCCGAUGGAUAGAAAAAAAGAAGUAGAUUCUUGUUCGAAAGAAGAACUAGAUUGCCACCUCCCUGGUGUAAAAGCUUUUUGCUCACGCUCUGUGUAAAGCGCCCAAACAUAAAACUAAGUGGAGACACUUUUCUCUAAUCUGUAUGGAUUUUUAUACAGAACACACAGCUAGAAAAAUUCGUGUAAAUUUAGAUCGAAAACGAUGCACGAAAACGGAACAUCGAUUUUGAUGUAAAAUUCUAUCACGGUGUAUUUUUUCCGAGGAUGUAAUUUUUGAGGCGUGUAAAUUUAGAUCGAAAUCAAUGCACGAGAUUGGAUCACAAAAGCCGUCGUGUAAAAAUAAACAGGGAAGUAAAUUUUAAAAUUUAUUUUCGUAAAUAAUGAUAUUUUUUCUAAAUAUUAAGGUUUUUGCUUUUGUCUUGAAUAAAUACGCCGCAUGUAUCAUUUUUAAUUCACAUUUAUUUACAAAACUGAACAUAAAAAUCAUUCGGAAAGUGUCAGGCUGAUAUUGUUGUUGCAUCCGAUGAUUCCCAGCACGGGGAUGUUUUUCGAAUCAGCAUGAUCAGCAUCCUCGAAUGGUUCCGGAAAUCAUAAUUUUUCGGUCAGCAUCCUGCACACUCGAAUUGUUCUGACAAAAGUUUCUCCGGAUAAUCACUGGCCGGAUAUCUGCCGCUGCGAAAAAUCUGACCUUGCUGUAAUGGAGAGAAAACUUAUCAGUUUCAACCAUAUUCUUUAUUUCACGUCUCAUAAACUUACUACUUUAAAGACUCUUUAAGUGCUCCUGUAGCUACGCCUUUGAAUGACUCGUUUCCGAAUAAUUUUCCGACUUGUUUACUUUGUGCCCGACGCGCAAACUAACUUGAAAUAUAAAAAGGCACAAUUUAAAUAUUUGCAUUCAAUUUUAAAUCAAACAGAUAUAAUUUUACACUGUUUGUGAUAUAAAUUUCGUUGACCGGUUGAUUUUUGCAUGAUGCAGUGUAAAAUUAAAUCAAAACAGUUUAUUUCUAUUCAAUUUUAGGAAAUAGACUAAUAAUACAUCGAAAGAAGUUUAAAAUUACAUCUUUUUGUAAUUACACUCAAGAAAAAAUAGAUCACUCGUGUUUUAGAUUCCGUGUACUUUUAGAAAUUUUUUGCUGUGCAGAGUAACUUUGUUUACCGUGCAUAGUCAUCAUGGGAUGAACUUUGUACACUGGAAAAUAUGUCUGUGAAUAUAUCAAAACUUAAUUCCUACACCCAAAAUAAUCUGCACGUAGCGGCUACGUGAAAAACUAUAUAAUUUUUAUCCACUUGAUUUCCACUAGUGAACCUGUAUAUAAGAGAAGUGACAUCUGAAACACAAAAUUCCAAUCGAGCAAAAGAACUGUCAAAAUCGAUUCCAAUCGAUCCGAGCAUUUUGUCGCAGAACUUUUACUUUUCUUAUUGAAAACUUAACCAAGGAAGGUAUUGCGUUUCUUGUUAUAGUUCAAACAGAUAAUUUUUUAGCUGGUCAUAUGAACUUAUGAUUAGGUGCAAUUUUUUUUAAUGCUUUGGUGAAUCAUGUUUCUAGUUAGAAAGCUAACUGAUUAUUAACGAAAUUCAAGUCAUUCAUACCGUUUAUCGCGAUCCUUCGGUCAUCGAGUUUAAUGUUAUUUUGUUGGAUUGAAAGCGUUCACUUUAGAGCUUGAACAUUGAGCCAGAAAACAGUGCUGGGAUUUUUUUUGUCCAAGAUUUCGGCGAUGUUGCCACAUAUUUCAUUUUAAGAGGGAUCAGAUGUCGCUUCUCUUAUAUGAAGGUUCACUAGUCAGUGGUUAUGAGAAUAUCUCUUAUAUUUUUUUAUAUUCUGAUACGACUCUAUAGAGUUUCGAAGACAAUAAUUUAUCUUGGAGGCACAUACAUCGUACUAAACGAGGUUUAGUUCACGCUUUCCGCGAUGCGUUUAAAAUAGCUUUAUGAAAUUAAGUACGAUUACGAGUGAUUCUUUGCAAAUCCAUCUGCACUUAAUUACAAUUUUAUUUAAUUUGUGAUCCCUAAAACAUUCUUAAAUUACAUACUACAAUCAUCCUGAUCAGAUUAAAUAUUUACCUUUAAAUGUUGCAUCUCAAUAUCUAAACAAAUAUUGAUAAAACAUUGAACCUGGCACCACUGAUGUAGACUUUGUUUUGGUAGUCAAACGCGAAGCACGAAAAAAUCGGUGUGGUCUUCUCGGUGGUCUUCGGUUCAGCAAAUUUGUGCGCUAUCUCGCCGGAUUCGCGCGGAACAUAAUUUUCAACACAGUCCGGGAGACGGAACGAAGUUUAUUCAGCAUUGCGACUGCUGUGAGCGGUUAUUCUACAUCUGCCGCUAGUUCCAGUCAGGGACUAGACCAAUCUUUGAAGCGGCUGGAUUAAGGUGUGAAACGCUCUGGAAGAAUUUUAAGCCGAGAUCUGAAAGAUGUUCCGGAGGAAAUCCGUAUUAAAUCUUGACUGGUUAUAUUCGUUGUUACGGCCACCUAGUUCCAGAAGGCCUUCCCGAGGUGCGUACAGCUCUGGUUCAGGAGUAAUGGAAAAACAGCUUGAACGCAGCAAUGGACAUUUCCCACUACAACGCCCUUCUUCGGGUGUAUAUGGAUAAUGAGAAUUCCUUCUCGCCAACGGAAUUUCUGGCGGAUUUGCAGGCCAAGAGCGUUGAACCGAAUCGGGUCACCUAUCAGCGAUUAAUUUCGCGCUACUGCCAAGAGGGAGCAAACAAGACUCUGGAAUUCUUGCGAGAGAAUCAGCUUCCAGUAAUUGGCAGCGUUUUCAACGCUGCGCCAGGACAAGUUGUUUUUCGCCACGUAUCGAUAUAGAGCGGCGCUAAAAAACGAUAUUCAAUAAAAUG